CAGCUGUAGCUCAGCUGGAUAGAGUACCUGACUACGAAUCAGGUGGUCGCAGGUUCGACUCCUGCCAGCUG
RNAcentral lists this transfer RNA (71 nucleotides) under marine eukaryotic metagenome. It matches the Rfam family "tRNA". From Rfam's summary of the family: Transfer RNA (tRNA) molecules are approximately 80 nucleotides in length. Their secondary structure includes four short double-helical elements and three loops (D, anti-codon, and T loops). Further hydrogen bonds mediate the characteristic L-shaped molecular structure. tRNAs have two regions of fundamental functional importance: the anti-codon, which is responsible for specific mRNA codon recognition, and the 3' end, to which the tRNAs corresponding amino acid is attached (by aminoacyl-tRNA synthetases). tRNAs cope with the degeneracy of the genetic code in two manners: having more than one tRNA (with a specific anti-codon) for a particular amino acid; and 'wobble' base-pairing, i.e. permitting non-standard base-pairing at the 3rd anti-codon position. The record is from RNAcentral.